Molecule: long non-coding RNA, 548 nt
Filed under: Elaeis guineensis (African oil palm)
Lineage: Eukaryota; Viridiplantae; Streptophyta; Magnoliopsida; Arecales; Arecaceae
Description: long non-coding RNA (EGUI_LNC068776)
Source: RNAcentral
CAGUAUAUGCAUUACUAUUGAUCAAUCAGUGCAUUGAUUAAGGAACUUUGUUUAAGUGGUGCAUCUUGUGUUUGCCAUUCUAAUCAUAUGGAAUGCUUGAUGAUAGAUUUUUUCCAAAACGUCCACAUGUAGCCUCCGUUAGCCGUUGCAUUCUCUCUAUGUUAUGUUACACUGAAACAUGCACGGAACUCUUAAGUUCAUUGUGUGACAAUAAUUUUGCAAAUAAUUAAUAAAUAUGGGAUCGUAUAUAUGUUAAAUAGAACACUAAAAAUUAUAAAGGAGAGGCAGAUAUGCAUACUUGUUUGAGUCAUAGUUGAUGCGAGGCUGUUAUUGACCAUGUAACUGUUUGGCCUUCCUCUCUAUGACCUAAAAUCUCAAUAGCGGCUCUCAAUGGGACAAGCAACUCAGUCUAGAUUAGAGAGGAAAUCUAGCAUGCAUAUAAAUAGAUAUCUUUGUGGAUCCUUCCAUCAUGGACUUCAAUAAGAUCCAAGCUGACACUUAACCACCCAACUAGACUUUUAUAGAAAAGAUACUACGGCCCAUCCCAC